Molecule: ribosomal RNA, 247 nt
Filed under: uncultured bacterium
Lineage: Bacteria
Description: partial 16S ribosomal RNA
Rfam family: Bacterial small subunit ribosomal RNA
Source: RNAcentral
AUGCUCCUACGGGGGGCAGCAGUGAGGAAUAUUGGUCAAUGGCCGGAAGGCUGAACCAGCCAGGCCGCGUGAGGGAGGAAGGCGCAGAGCGUCGCAGACCUCUUUUGCCGGGGGACAAAAGUCCGGACUCGUCCGGUCCUGAGGGUACCCGGAGAAAAAGCAUCGGCUAACUCCGUGCCAGCAGCCGCGGUUAUACGGAGGAUGCGUGCGUUAUCCGGAUUCAUUGGGUUUAAAGGGUGCGCAGGCG